Molecule: ribosomal RNA, 649 nt
Filed under: uncultured fungus
Lineage: Eukaryota; Fungi
Description: eukaryotic LSU rRNA
Rfam family: Eukaryotic large subunit ribosomal RNA
Source: RNAcentral
ACCCGCUGAACUUAAGCAUAUCAAUAAGCGGAGGAAAAGAAACCAACAGGGAUUGCCUCAGUAACGGCGAGUGAAGCGGCAAGAGCUCAAAUUUAAAAGCCGACGUAGCUUUAAGAGACGUCCGCAUUGUAAUUUGAAGAGGCAUUCUCGGGUCGGGGCUCAGGCCUAAGUUCCUUGGAAGAGGGCGUCGUGGAGGGUGAGAACCCCGUUCGCGGCCUGCUGUCGACCUUUCCCCGAUCCACACGAGGUGCCAUCGAAGAGUCGAGUUGUUUGGGAAUGCAGCUCAAAGCGGGUGGUAAAUUCCAUCUAAAGCUAAAUAUUGACGGGAGACCGAUAGCGAACAAGUAGAGUGAUCGAAAGAUGAAAAGCACUUUGAAAGAGAGUUAAACAGCACGUGAAAUUGUUGAAAGGGAAGCGCUUGAGACCAGUCACGGACCGAGGCGAUCAGUGGGACGUCCCUCUCGGGGGAGGAACCGCGCACUCGCUUUUCGGGUUUUCCGGGUCAACAUCGGUUGGGACGGUGUCAGAAAGGUCGCGGGAACGUGGCUCCCUUCACGGGGAGUGUUAUAGCCCGUGGCGUCAAAGUCGCCAGUUUCGACCGAGGACCGCGCUCGUCUUUUUCGAGCAAGGAUGUUGACGUAAUGGUCCC